AUAUGUUGCUGCAUAACAAACUACUACACAUUUAACACCUUAAACAGCUUAAAAUCUCACAUAUUUACUAUCCUACAGUCUCUCUGGGGUCAGGAAUCUUGGGACAGUUUAGUUAGGUCCUCUGCUUCAGAGUCUCUUACAAGGCUGCAAUCGGAGGUGUUGGUCAGGGCUAGGUUCUUAUCCGCAGGUCCACCUGGGGAGAGAUUCACCUCUGAGGUCAUGUUGUUGUUGGCAGAAUUCAGUUCCUUGAAGUUUGGACUGGGAGCCUCAGUCGGCUCUUGGCUGGAGACCACCUGCAGUUUCUAGUCUCGUGGGCCUUUCUAACAUAGCAGCUUGCUUCAUCAAAGUAUGCAAGCAGAAGACAAUAAGAAGAGUCAGCUAGCACAAUGGAAGCUACAACCUUAUGUAACCAAAUCGUGGAUGUGACAUCCCAUCACCUUUGCUGCAUUUGUUCAUUAGAAGCAAGUCGUAGGUCCACCCAGACUAAAGGGAUUACCCAAAGGUGUGAAUACCAGGAGGCCAUCUUAGACUCUGCCUGCCACAGCUGGGUUGCAGCCAGACCUGCCUACCUCUGAAACCCAAUGCACUGCAAAUAGUUGCCUGGAGAUCCUGGUGAGCAACCCAGCUUCUUACAGAAGUAAGAAUUAGUGGAUAAGUUUGACACAAAUUGUUAAGAAUGAUCCAGAGUCUUUUGCUCUUCUAGACUUACUCUUCUUGCAGGAAGUGAGAACAAAUGGACUGUCGGCUGGAAUAGAAUUUCUUGUAUAUCAAGACCAGCAUCCUACACAGAGCCCUCAGUAAAACUACUUGCAUGAACAGAUUUUGGGCUCCAUCAGCUCGAUUGCCCUACUUUUAUAACAAAUGUUUAUAAUAUCCUUAAUUCUAAGAUGAAAUCCAUAAAUAAAAUGUCCCUGCCCACAUAAUUUCAAAAUAUCAAUAUGAUGUAACUGUAAUAUACAAAACAAAAGGAAAAUAAUUAUAACAAAAACGAUGUGUCUCAAUAUAUACAUGCUCUAAAAUAAAGUGGUUGAAUGCUUACUCCUGAACUCAGAAUCACUGCUAAUGAGAUAGUUAUAAAUGCAGACUGUUACUUGACACUGGGUGUGGAAUUAGGGACUCAGAUUCUACAAUUUGCACUGGUGGUGUGAUUUUCCAGGAAGACAAAUAAUAUUUGGAAACAUUCUGAACAAAGCAAAACAAAAACCACCCCAUAAUUUACAAGGAGUUACACUUCUGGAAAAUUCAGUGUAUGUUCAAAUUGUGAAAAACAGAACCUUGUUUUGGAAUUAGUUUAGUCUUGAGUAAUUAUAGAUAAGGUUUUUAUCUACACGUAUGUCAUGCAAGACAUUGGAGGGCCUUGAGAUAAUUCAUUAUACAGGACUCUACUGCAUUUAACAGGACAAAUGUGUGGGACCUGGCAUUUCUCCCUACACACUCCCCCCAAUUGGGGAAUGCCUCAAUUUUGCAACAACAAAAACGCCCUUGGAUUUCACUAGUGAGCAGUGAUACUUGACAUUGCAAACCACUGCAAUGGUGCCUAACCUCUAGGUGAGAGGAAAGCAAUGCAGUUAUAGACUUGGUUGGACACCAUUAAGUUCAGAUAUCAAGGAGUACCAUGAGAGAGAUGGAAAUGAAAAUCAGUGGCUUCAAAGUAUCUACUGUGGCCCAGCAGCGCAGGCACAGUUAGGGUGCUUAAAUCAAGCAAAAGAUGCAGUGUCAGCUAGGGGUGGAGAGAGAACACUGUGUUAGGGUUUUAGAAGUGGACAUCUCAAAGCAGAUACUUUGCACACUGAAUUUUAAGAAUACUGAUGAAGACAGGUACCAUGGCUCACGCCUGUAGUCCCAACACUUUGGGAGGCUGAGGCAGGAGGAUCACUUGAGCCCAAAAGUUCAAGGCUGCAGUGAGCUGCAAUCACACCACUGCACUCCAGCCUGGGCAACAGGGACCUCAUCUCUAAAAAAUUGUUUUAAAAGAAUACUGACAGAAUGCUUUCUUUUCCAACAGAAACCUGUUUCCCUCAAAUCUUGUGGUUGCAGCUUUCCGUACGUAUGCAACCGAUUAUAAAGUCGUGACCCAGAACAGCAGCUCUGGAAAUGUAACCCAUGAAAAGAUCCCCAUAGGCACUGAGAUAGAAGGGAUGAACAUUUUAGGAUUGGUCCUGUUUGCUCUGGUGUUAGGAGUGGCCUUAAAGAAACUAGGCUCCGAAGGAGAAGACCUCAUCCGUUUCUUCAAUUCCCUCAACGAGGCAACGAUGGUGCUGGUGUCCUGGAUUAUGUGGUACGUACCUGUGGGCAUCAUGUUCCUUGUUGGAAGCAAGAUCGUGGAAAUGAAAGACAUCAUCGUGCUGGUGACCAGCCUGGGGAAAUACAUCUUCGCAUCUAUAUUGGGCCAUGUUAUUCAUGGAGGAAUUGUUCUGCCACUUAUUUAUUUUGUUUUCACACGAAAAAACCCAUUCAGAUUCCUCCUGGGCCUCCUCGCCCCAUUUGCGACAGCAUUUGCUACCUGCUCCAGCUCAGCGACCCUUCCCUCUAUGAUGAAGUGCAUUGAAGAGAACAAUGGUGUGGACAAGAGGAUCAGCAGGUUUAUUCUCCCCAUCGGGGCCACCGUGAACAUGGACGGAGCAGCCAUCUUCCAGUGUGUCGCCGCUGUGUUCAUUGCACAACUCAACAACGUAGAGCUCAACGCAGGACAGAUUUUCACCAUUCUAGUGACUGCCACAGCGUCCAGUGUUGGAGCAGCAGGCGUGCCAGCUGGAGGGGUCCUCACCAUUGCCAUUAUCCUGGAGGCCAUUGGGCUGCCUACUCAUGACCUGCCUCUGAUCCUGGCUGUGGACUGGAUUGUGGACCGGACCACCACGGUGGUGAAUGUGGAAGGGGAUGCCCUGGGUGCGGGCAUUCUCCACCACCUGAAUCAGAAGGCAACAAAGAAAGGCGAGCAGGAACUUGCUGAGGUGAAAGUGGAAGCCAUCCCCAACUGCAAGUCUGAGGAGGAGACAUCGCCCCUGGUGACACACCAGAACCCCGCUGGCCCCGUGGCCAGUGCCCCAGAACUGGAAUCCAAGGAGUCGGUUCUGUGAUGGGGCUGGCCUUUGGGCUUGCCUGCCAGCAGUGAUGUCCCACCCUGUUCACCCAGCCGCCAGUCAUGGACACAGGGCACUGCCCUUGCCAACUUUUACCCUCCCAAGCAAUGCUUUGGCCCAGUCACUGGCCUGAGGCUUACCUCUCGGCACUGGCAUUGGGCUCCCCAGCCGGAACUGGUUACCAAGGACAAGGACACUCUGACAUUCGGCUUGAUCCAUGUCCAGGUGCAACUGUGUGUACACCAGGGAUCUGUUUGGAAACAACCCCUUGAGCUGCCAGGCUCAAGAAAUCAUGGACUCACAGGGUCCUGUGUGGUUACAUCUUGGAAAAAAUGCAGAUGUAUUUCACUCUCCCCGGUCAGCUCUGCAUCAGGUGUUUUCUGAGCAAACCAAGGGGGUUUAUAGUCAUCUGUCGCAUUGCCUCGAGUUGCAGUAAUUGAAAAAAUGCUCAAAUUCUUAGCCAUGGCUGGCCUUUGCUGAGCUGGGACUCAGGUGUUUAAAGAGUUUGUGCUAUAGCUAGGUGUGGAUAGCUUCUGAUCCCUGGGUUCUGGGAGACUGCAGGUGCCGCACAUUGUCAAGUUAGAAAUACUCCAGGUGGGUGUUAGCGCUGUGGGGGUCUCUGGUCCACAGCCUUGGGUAAACAACUUAGAUUUUGAGGUCAAAGAAAAAAGGAGAGGGAAUGCAGCCUUGUGGGGGUGAAGCGGGGCAGAGGGUUCUCUAAUCUAAUCAGGACAGGACAGGUUUCACACACAAUUGUCCCAGUUCGCAUCCCAGCCCUGGGGCACUUUUCUGCUUCCUUCCAGAGGCCUGGGCCUCUGAUAACACUUUAGCUUUUUCUCCAUUCACGCUGAUUUGGCAAAAGGCCAGAGAUGGGCCUCCUUCCCUGGGGAGGUGUGAUGUAGUUAUCACAUUCAGGACCCUUGUUGAUUUAUCAUCUAUUAUUUGAAUUCAACUGGACACUCUGUAAAAUGCUGCACUGCAGCAAAAACAAAACCACCACCACCCCAGAGAAAACCAUGUACUAAUUGGAGUGGGGUACCCCCAUUCACAGGUUCCCAGGUCCCCUGGCUUUGGCUGAUUUCAAAAUAUAGAGCCCUUUCUUGCCAGUACAUCCAAGUUUAAAAUUAUCAGCGAAAUGGUCCAUGUUUUUCCAAUUACCUGCUGACACGGUUCUAAGCUAAGUGAGGGGGAAGAUCUGAGAGCGUGCUGUUUGUGGCUGUUGAUGCAUAUUCGUGAUGUAACAGGUCCUGGGGCCUCACUUUACCCCAUUUGUAAAAUGGGGCUAAUGUCACCUGCCUCUUACCUACCUCAGAGGGAUUUGGUGAGGCAAACUGUUAAUCUUCGAAAACGACCAUUUCACUUCUUGGAUAUCAAGUGCUAACCCAGUAUGUUCUUCUUUUUUAUGUAAGGGACAGCUUUCUCCACAGAGUCCUUCUGCUGGUGAGGACAGCAUUUCUGAGCAGGGCUUUGUUCUCUAUGUGCAUUAGGACUUUAUCAUGCCCUUGUUCUGUGUGUAGUUACUUGACAGCAUCAAAUGCAGCCUCUUCCUAAUGUCCUUCCAGUUUUCAUGAACUAGCAACCCCACCUUCCACCAUGGUUCUGGGCGCCUGAUUUUGCUGUGACUCCCAGACCCAGCCACUGUUUCUGCCACCCUGUAACAGGCCAUUAAAGCUCCCCAGUGUUCAGCCUCCUUCACUCCCUUGUUUUCCCUGUUGCUAUGUGUCACCUGGGCCCUACAGACAGGGGCACAUGCUUAUGGAUGUGUGUACCAUUGAGAUGAGAAUGGGUAGAUGGAACGGAGACCAGCAAGCCACACCCCCUUCUUAAAACUGGGGACAUGAGCCUGAGCAGAAAGGGUGAAGAAGAGCCAUGGGACACAGAGUUGACCCAGCCAGGGGGAAAGCCCAGCUCUCUUUAAACCAGCUAAGCCAUUCCAGUCUCCUGUGAAGCCAAAAGGGACCAGGAACCGUGCAAAGGAAACUGGAAACUUUUCCCCGCUGGGUAGAGCAUGUUGCUGAUACUCUUCUGUUUUCAAGGGAAACAAUCACAUUGUUUGAUUCCAAAUGGUAAAUGAACACUCACUAUUUUUCAGGCUUCAGUAAAUCUUUUUUUCUUCCUUCAUAUAUAUAUAUACACAACACACACACACAUAUGUAUAUCUAUACACACAUAUGUGUGUUGUGUGUGUUGUGUAUAUGCAUGUGUGUGUGUGUGUGUAUAGUUUUAGCUCCAAGCCAAGCAAGUUUGUGUUUGGAUAGAGGGGAACUUAACUAUUAACUACAAGUUGUAUGUCUGUGGUAUCUUGAUUUUCCCAUUUCUAAAGAUGAAUUUCACAAAGCCAUAAAGCGUGAAAUUAGAGCUGGACUUAAGACUCAUUGGCCGACCAUCCUGUGUCCUGGCCUGGCCCUGCAGUAAGAAGCGUGUCUGGGUCUGGAGAAGGGUGCUUCCGAGAGUGUGCAGGUGGCCCUUCCCCUUGGAGGCGAGAAGAGAGAAUGUGCUGUGUAUCUUCCUGGUUUUCAGUCCACAGAGUCGGUAGACCAGGGGUUACCUGACUGGGGAAAAUCUCACAUCUCCUUGUCUGAAAACAUUUCCCCUGCUGUUCUCCUUCUAACAUGUUGCGGUAAAUCUGUUCAGAUACUGUUCAUCUGACUGUUUUGUACGUGUGACAAUUGCCUUAAAACCUAGCACAGUCCUCAGAAAUGAAUACCGUGUUUCCACUGG
RNAcentral lists this small RNA (5801 nucleotides) under Pan troglodytes (chimpanzee). RNAcentral's name for it is "retained intron". Lineage: Eukaryota; Metazoa; Chordata; Mammalia; Primates; Hominidae. The record is from RNAcentral.